UAUUUUCCCUUCCCUGAAAUGUUUCUCUCUCUUAUCUCUAUAAAAAAUAUUUUCUCUCUCAUCCAAAAUCAUCAAAUCAUCGCCUGAGAAGUUCGCCGCCAACCUCUUUUUUUUCUGAUGGCCGGAACAUUGGUGGUUACACGUAAAUUGCGUCGCUAGCGUUUGGAGGAAUUGCUGAAAUCGGUUGCAUUUGAAGCAUUUCUGAGUUUCUAGGGUUUUGUGUUAGUGGUUGGGGAAGUUGGGGGAUUAUUUGAAGUUGCGAUUGAUUGAUUGAUUGAUAUUCUUUCAUUGCGUUGAAGACUGGGGAAGAGAGGCGUGGGUUGAGGAGGAUAAUGUGUAUACUUUGCGUGAUUCAGAAGUGGUCGCGGAGGAUUGCUACCAUGUUGCCAUGGCUAGUAAUACCACUGAUUGGGCUAUGGGCUCUGUCGCAGCUCUUGCCUCCGGCGUUCCGAUUUGAAAUCACGUCGCCGAGGCUUGCUUGCUUGUUAGUACUGUUGGUAACACUUUUCUGGUACGAGGUUCUCAUGCCUCAGUUGUCAGCGUGGAGGGUCAGGAGGAAUGAUAGGCUUAGGGAGAGGAAAAGGUUUGAGGCUAUUGAAAGGCAAAAGUUGAGGAAGACUGCCACCCGGAGGUGUAGGAAUUGCUUAACAGCGUAUCGGGAUCAGAAUCCCGGUGGGAGCAAGUUCAUGUGCUCUUAUUGUGGCCAUAUUUCAAAGAGGCCGGUUCUGGAUUUGCCUGUCUCUCCAGGAAUGGGUAAUUCAGGGAUAUUGAAGGAUCUCGUUGGCAAAGGUGGGAAGAUAUUGAAUGGGAAGAAUUGGUCGGACAAUGGGUGGAUAUGUGGGCAGGACUGGCUGGAGAACGGUAAUUGGGUUGUGGGGCCUUUUGCGGGCAAGUCGAACCGGAAGAGGAAUGGCAUUGGUGUCGGCUUAUUUGGAGGGGAUGAUGAUCAUUGUCUGGCUGAAAAAUCUUAUUCUCGUGUUUUUAUUUUUGCUUGCAAAAUAUUAACUGCUUUUUUAUUGAGCAUCAUGUGGAUUUGGAGAAAGAUUUUUAGGGUUAGUUCAUCCAGUGAUGAUACAUCAUCUGAUUCAGAACGCAGAGGAAUGCUCGAUAAUCAAAGCGAAAAUGGAGGGAACGGUCAGGAGAGUAGAGGAGAGAAAGCUCGAAGAAAAGCUGAGGAGAAGAGGCAUGCUAGAUUAGAGAAGGAGCUACUGGAAGAGGAGGAAAGAAAGCAGCGCGAAGAGGUCGCAAGACUAGUUGAAGAACAGAGGAGAUUACGAGAUGAGAAACUGGAAGCUGAAAAAGAUCGCAGUAAGGGGUCUCCCCGAGCUAAGGAAAGAGAUAGUAGAAAAGAAUCCGAAAGAAAGCACCAGGAAAGAAGGAAGGAGAAAGACAGAGGAUCAAGUAAAAGCAACUCUGAUGUUGAGGAGUUGGAGAAGCGAGUCGGCAAAGAAAGUGACAAUAACAAGAGGAGUGACAGUGAUAGACGGGACCAACAGAGAAGUACACCUGAAAGUAUGAAAGCUCAUGGUACAGAACUGGGGCAUGGAUUUAAGGGUGCUGCAGCAGGCAGUCAUAACCGAGGGAAUGCUGGAACAAGAUAUUUGGAUCGCAUGAAGGGCACAUUUUUUUCUUCUUCUAGAGCAUUUACCAGAGGUGGUUUUUUUGGAAAGAAUACUAACAUGCCAAUUGUUUUGAGAGAACUGAAACCAAGCCCAUUGCUAGAAAAUGCUCAAACUGUUGCAUAUAGAAAAGAAACAGUACAACCUGACCAGGCUUCUGGUAGACCAACUGUACAUGUAGAUGAUAAGGGUUCUAACCGCCCGGUGCUCAUUGAACAUCAACCAAGUACAGCUCCUAAAAAGUCGUGGCAGCAACUAUUUGCACGUUCACCACCUGUUAGUGCCCCCUCCAACACGAAUGUUAUAAGCAGACCAACCGGGAAUCAUAAAGCAGAAGUUCAGAACACCCCCUUUUCUGGUAACCCUCCCCCAACAAAAUCAGUUGACAAUCCUAUCGAUUUUGGGCUGCAGUCUCCGUUUAGUCUACCAUCAUUUCCCUUUGAAUCGAGUACUAGCAGUACAGUUCUUCCAUUAUCUUCCGAACCUAUUCAACCUAAAAGGGCAGAUAAACAACAUCAAUUUCUGCUAGAGGAGACAGAGAUCUUUGAAGACCCCUGUUAUGUUCCAGAUCCAAUAUCCUUGCUUGGACCAGUUUCUGAAUCACUCGAUAGCUUUCAGCUGGAUCUGGGUUUUGUCGAUACUGGAAUGGAAAAACCAUGUGCAGUGAAGACUAAAUCUGCACAUUCCAAAGUUACCAAGCCAUCGCCAAUAGAGUCUCCAUUAUCGCGGUCACGUGUUUCAGAGGAUAGCUCCAAUGGCUUAAAUGGCAAUGGCACCUGGCAGAUGUGGAAUAGCUCUCCUCUUGUUCAGGAUGGUCUUGGUUUGGUUGGUGGGCCUAUCAACUGGCAUUUGCAUCCAGAGAUGAACUUGUUGAACAAGGAAGAUAAUAUGCGUCAUGUACCUCAUAAAACUAUGGCUUCACUGUUCAAGAAGGAUGAACAAACCUCUUCUGGACCUCAUCCUCCCCAGCAUGUUCUAUUUGGGAAUUCUCAAAAUGGUGGAAUAAUCAAUACAUCCGGGCCGCCAAUUUCUGAUGGUCCGUGGUUGCCAAGAACUUUAUUUGGACAAACUUCUGAUAAUCAAGCUGCAAUGAAGCCUAAUGGGGAAAUGCUUCAGAAUGGCCUAAUUUAUGGAAAUACUAGCGGACCUCCUGCUAACCAUCAAUUUGACGUUCCUGCUUCUAGUUGUUGGACUAGGUGGACCUACUGUAUAUCAACAUUGUCCAACUGAAUGUGAAAUUGUUAUGUGCCUCAAGUAUCAUAAUGCACAUGGAGGCCCCAAAGCUCAACUUCACAAUUAAGAAAUAAAAGACUGGACAGUGGCGGGUUCACGAGAAAAUGUUGGAAGCUCUCCUACGAAUAGGCCUCACAUCGGAGGCCUCUACUCACCGCCGGAUGUACAGUCUCUUUGGUCGUACGAGUAGAGAUAGGAAAGGACAAAAGAAAAAGAAGGAACAAUGAAAGACAAAUAGGCUCUUUGUGGACUCGAAUUCCUCCUGUGUGAAGAGGCAAAUAGCCUCUUUUCUGGAGAUCUAUAUAAUACAGGAUUCCAAUUGUAUCUUCCUUCUUUUCUAUACAAGGGAGAUUUUAAUUUUAGAAAAAAAAAACUUGUGAUCAUA
This is an RNA transcript of Salvia splendens (bonfire salvia), 3237 nucleotides long. RefSeq lists it as uncharacterized. The transcript has 5 exons. Lineage: Eukaryota; Viridiplantae; Streptophyta; Magnoliopsida; Lamiales; Lamiaceae. The record is from RefSeq and is a predicted model, not a curated record.